This 85-nucleotide transfer RNA is filed under the name Vibrio splendidus. Its description in RNAcentral is "tRNA-Leu". It matches the Rfam family "tRNA". Rfam says of the family: Transfer RNA (tRNA) molecules are approximately 80 nucleotides in length. Their secondary structure includes four short double-helical elements and three loops (D, anti-codon, and T loops). Lineage: Bacteria; Pseudomonadati; Pseudomonadota; Gammaproteobacteria; Vibrionales; Vibrionaceae. The record is from RNAcentral.
GCGGUCGUGGCGGAAUUGGUAGACGCAUCAGAUUUAGGUGCUGGCGCUGAGAGGUGUGAGAGUUCAAGUUUCUCCGACCGCACCA